This 253-nucleotide ribosomal RNA is filed under the name uncultured bacterium. Its description in RNAcentral is "partial 16S ribosomal RNA". It matches the Rfam family "Bacterial small subunit ribosomal RNA", at positions 524 to 776 of the family's 1533-position model. The record is from RNAcentral.
UACGGGGGGGGCAAGCGUUGUUCGGAAUUACUGGGCGUAAAGGGCGCGUAGGCGGUUGGAUAAGUCAGCUGUGAAAACCACGGGCUUAACUCGUGGCCUGCAGUUGAGACUGUCUGGCUUGAGUGUGGGAGAGGAGAGUGGAAUUCCUGGUGUAGUGGUGAAAUGCGUAGAUAUCGGGAGGAACACCAGUGGCGAAGGCGGCUUUCUGGUCUGCUCUUGACGCUGAGGCGCGAAAGCUAGGGUAGCAAACGGG